RNAcentral lists this ribosomal RNA (254 nucleotides) under uncultured bacterium. Its description in RNAcentral is "partial 16S ribosomal RNA". It matches the Rfam family "Bacterial small subunit ribosomal RNA", at positions 524 to 776 of the family's 1533-position model. The record is from RNAcentral.
UACGAGGGGUGCAAACGUUAUUCGGAUUUAUUGGGCGUAAAGGGUGUGUAGACGGUUUAUUAAGUUCGUUGUUAAAUCUUUCGGCCCAACCGGAAGCUUGCGGUGAAAACUGAUAGACUAGAGGAUGAAAGAGAGGAGUGGAAUUCUCGGAGUAGCGGUAAAAUGCGUAGAUCUCGAGAGGAACACCGAUGGCGAAAGCAGCUCCUUGGUUCAUUUCCUGACGUUGAAACACGAAAGCGUGGGGAGCAAACAGG